This 305-nucleotide ribosomal RNA is filed under the name uncultured bacterium. RNAcentral's name for it is "bacterial SSU rRNA". It matches the Rfam family "Bacterial small subunit ribosomal RNA", at positions 339 to 641 of the family's 1533-position model. The record is from RNAcentral.
CCUCGGGACGCAGCAGUGAGGAAUAUUGGUCAAUGGGCGGAAGCCUGAACCAGCCAAGUCGCGUGAGGGAAUAAGGCCCUACGGGUCGUAAACCUCUUUUGCCGGGGAGCAAGGGCCGGGACGCGUCCCGGCCCGGAGAGUACCCGGAGAAAAAGCAUCGGCUAACUCCGUGCCAGCAGCCGCGGUAAUACGGAGGAUGCGAGCGUUAUCCGGAUUUAUUGGGUUUAAAGGGUGCGUAGGCGGGCUUUUAAGUCAGCGGUAAAAAUUCGGGGCUCAACCCCGUCCGGCCGCUGAAACUGGGGGCC